RNAcentral lists this ribosomal RNA (1249 nucleotides) under Bacillus sp. (in: firmicutes). RNAcentral describes it as "bacterial SSU rRNA". It matches the Rfam family "Bacterial small subunit ribosomal RNA", at positions 98 to 1333 of the family's 1533-position model. The record is from RNAcentral. Lineage: Bacteria; Bacillati; Bacillota; Bacilli; Caryophanales; Bacillaceae.
GCGGACGGGUGAGUAACACGUGGGUAACCUGCCUGUAAGACUGGGAUAACUCCGGGAAACCGGGGCUAAUACCGGAUGGUUGUUUGAACCGCAUGGUUCAGACAUAAAAGGUGGCUUCGGCUACCACUUACAGAUGGACCCGCGGCGCAUUAGCUAGUUGGUGAGGUAACGGCUCACCAAGGCGACGAUGCGUAGCCGACCUGAGAGGGUGAUCGGCCACACUGGGACUGAGACACGGCCCAGACUCCUACGGGAGGCAGCAGUAGGGAAUCUUCCGCAAUGGACGAAAGUCUGACGGAGCAACGCCGCGUGAGUGAUGAAGGUUUUCGGAUCGUAAAGCUCUGUUGUUAGGGAAGAACAAGUGCCGUUCAAAUAGGGCGGCACCUUGACGGUACCUAACCAGAAAGCCACGGCUAACUACGUGCCAGCAGCCGCGGUAAUACGUAGGUGGCAAGCGUUGUCCGGAAUUAUUGGGCGUAAAGGGCUCGCAGGCGGUUUCUUAAGUCUGAUGUGAAAGCCCCCGGCUCAACCGGGGAGGGUCAUUGGAAACUGGGGAACUUGAGUGCAGAAGAGGAGAGUGGAAUUCCACGUGUAGCGGUGAAAUGCGUAGAGAUGUGGAGGAACACCAGUGGCGAAGGCGACUCUCUGGUCUGUAACUGACGCUGAGGAGCGAAAGCGUGGGGAGCGAACAGGAUUAGAUACCCUGGUAGUCCACGCCGUAAACGAUGAGUGCUAAGUGUUAGGGGGUUUCCGCCCCUUAGUGCUGCAGCUAACGCAUUAAGCACUCCGCCUGGGGAGUACGGUCGCAAGACUGAAACUCAAAGGAAUUGACGGGGGCCCGCACAAGCGGUGGAGCAUGUGGUUUAAUUCGAAGCAACGCGAAGAACCUUACCAGGUCUUGACAUCCUCUGACAAUCCUAGAGAUAGGACGUCCCCUUCGGGGGCAGAGUGACAGGUGGUGCAUGGUUGUCGUCAGCUCGUGUCGUGAGAUGUUGGGUUAAGUCCCGCAACGAGCGCAACCCUUGAUCUUAGUUGCCAGCAUUCAGUUGGGCACUCUAAGGUGACUGCCGGUGACAAACCGGAGGAAGGUGGGGAUGACGUCAAAUCAUCAUGCCCCUUAUGACCUGGGCUACACACGUGCUACAAUGGACAGAACAAAGGGCAGCGAAACCGCGAGGUUAAGCCAAUCCCACAAAUCUGUUCUCAGUUCGGAUCGCAGUCUGCAACUCGACUGCGUGAAGCUGGAAUC